AAUCAGCACCCACAGCCAAUAGUGCUGAGAUACAGUGGGACAUGUCCCGCCCACCAAUCCUGAGGUGACUUCCCUUUCCUAGUAGAUAGAAUUGAGCCGCUGUGGCUGCGUUGGGAGAGGGACCUGUCAAUCCCGCCCGUCCGCGGUCGCGAUUGGUCAGGCUGCCCCGGGGCGGGGCUUUUCUCGGGAUGCUCGGCGGGCGAGUGGUUUGAGGCUCCUUCCGCUUCCGGGUAGCGGCCGCACGUGGGAGGUGCUGCUCCUCCUCUCGUCCGGGCCCUGCGCCAUCCUCGGGAUGGACGGGCUGCGCUUCCCCUCCUGCGCCCCACCGUCGGCUCCGCGGGGAGGGCCGAGCGGCACGGCGGGGAGGGCUUGUCGGGUGGACGCUGCUGUGCUCAGUCUCUUCCUUCGGGCCUGGGGGCCAUCGAAGACCCCCGGGCCGGGCCGGCGCUUGGGUGUGCCGACGGGUGUUGGUUUUACCCCGCUGGCCCUUUGGCGGUGCAGGUGGUGGUGCAGUUCCCUCGGGCUGGGGCUGUCUAGGGAUCGAGGGAAAUCCGUGGAGAAAGGGCUGAUGGAGCCGAGCUCCGCUGGGUUGCUGCCGGGUGUGCGGGGUGAAGCCGCGCUGCUAAAGCGCCAGGGGCAGCGGGGAGGCCGCUCUCGGACGAGCAGCGCGGUUCAGGCGGCACCUGCUGUCCCCGUAGGCGGCGGAUGCUGUAUGUGAGCAGCUGGCAAAGUGCUGCAUGGGUCUGUCUCCUUCCUGGCUUUGGCCGUGGCCGGGAACCGAUUUGACUGCGUCCAGUUGUCCGGGGUUGGUUGAUUUUUUUGAUGGGAUAAAGCAGGCGGUUUGUACCUGAGGAAGUAGCGGUGCUUUGCAAUUGGUGCUGAGAGGGGAGACCCGAGUAGUUUAGCACAGCUUGACCUGCCAGCCGAGCAGCUGGCAGGGGUGGCAGCGGGAUGGAAAAUGGGAGCUAGUUUGGACUGGCUGCCUGCGCAAAAGGAUGGUUCAGUCGGUGCUGGAGCAAGGGCAGAACUGCCUGAUGUUAGCCGGAGAAGUGCUGGAUUUGGAACGUGUCCUGCAGACGGCCGCCUGUGCAGCCAGCCUUGCUCGGUGGUCUGGGCAGAUGCAGUAUUCUUUCCAAGAACUUGGCUCAGAGCGUGGUGGUCUCCUAAAGAAGCAGGGCCUGUCCUAUAAUGAUUUAAAUCAUCUGUUCAGAAGACAUAUUAAUGGGAUUCCCAUAAGGCUCCUGCCAUUUUGCUGAUGUUCCUGUUAGAAGACCUAUCACCUCAUUUUGAAAACAUUAAUAAAAGCAUGAGUGUUCUAACUGCAGGGCUUAAAUACUCACAGUCAGUCAUAAACUGGGUUAACUUCAGGCAUUCUGCUGCAGAACAGAAUUGUGAUUUAUAAAUUUGUGGGUUCUCACAUGGAUGUCCACCUCCUUGUACACCAAGAAUGAUACUGUUAGCAGAAAGGUUUUUAUUUGUUUUUAAAAAAGGGGAGGGAUAAAUUAGCUAGUGAGAAAGAAAAGUCUCAUUUCAGCUUAUCAGAACAGGACACAUCUUCAUGUUCAAGUCUGAUAUUUCAGUGUCAUUCUGAGUUGUGAUAGUGACUGAAAAUGGAGUCCCUUGUUGUGCCCUAACAAUUGAGCUCUAUUUAGGUGGGUUUUUUUUUUUGUUUAUUGAAGUUUUUAAGUGGGAUAGCUUGAGCUCCAGCUCUUUUGCAUGCCAGGUAAAUAAUCUCAGUGUACCAUCACUGUAACAUCUGGCAGCACCAACAUAUCCUCAGUUUUGAGAACAUUAUGAAUGCUUAAAAUGUACUUACAGUUCUGGGCUGCCUAAAUCGUGAACACUGAAAAUACAUCUGUGAAAAAUUCCUGGUUGUUUUGGAAAUGUGGUAGUUUUAAAAGGUUGUGCAACAAACAGCAGAAAUAUAGAAGUGCUGUGAGGGUUUUGCAGGGAAAUUCACAUUUUGGAAUCUGAAUUGUACCUUCCUAUUUUGAAUCUAACCUGGAGAUAUAUGAGCAAGUUUGUUUCUGAACUGGAUAGGUAAAUAAUAUACAUGGACUUAUGGCAUAUUCCUAAGAGGGUGUUUGCAUUAGCCUUAUAAUGCAACAGUCCAUUUUAUAAAUGAGAGAAGUGAAGAAUAUUUAAAAAAUUACCUGUAUCAAUUUAACUGAUGGGGAUAAACAUGACCUAAGGCAGCUUUUUUAUUUAAGCCAUGUAGAGAUAGCUUUGGUAGAGAGGGGUCAUGGUAAUCAUUCAAGGAGAAGUGUCUAAACCCUACAUUUAACACACAGAAACAGAGGGUCAUGUUGAGGCUUGAGUGUGGGCCUUUAAAUGAGGCACUCUUUAGACUUCAUUUACUUCUUAAUGAUGCUGAUAUCACUGCGUGCCUCUUUUCAGUGAGUUUUGUGAGUUGUGACACUGUCCUGAAGCAAGGACAAGUACCAUGACCUCUGUAAGAGGAGCAGAUUUAUUCCUUGGGAUAAGCAAACUGCUUGCAACUGUUCUGGCAUAUGAAAAUCUGUUAGAUCCUUGUUUCUGAUUUGCAGAUAGUAGUGACUCUUGAGUCUUACAGUAUUAGAGGAAGCAUAGUUUUAUAUGCAUCUAUUUCCAUGCAGAACUGAGAAAUACUGCCUCUAAUGAGAACACCUCUUUCCUCUUUUAAUCCAGGAGUUAGGAGUGCUAAAGUCUUUAACAGGCCUUAGAAAAAGACUGGGCAAGCUCAAGAGAACAAUUGAUCUGCUAAAUAUAAAGAUGAUAGUAUCAAGUCCUGAGCCAUAGAAGGCUAGGGAGUGGGAUUGUGGAUUGUGACUAUAUGGAUGUUCUGUUCUUUGCUUCCUGUGCGCUCGCUUCUGUCCAGUGUCACAGAAACAGGGUCCGGGUCUCUGGUGUGGUAAUGGUACAGCUGUAAUUUACUUGAAGUGCUGAAAGUGCCUUAGCCUUUAGUAAGGCUGGGAGAACCCCAGGGCACUCACUGCCUGUGAGAAAGAUUCUUGUGCCCCAGUUAAGGUCUGCCGGCAUGCUCUGUCACAGCAGCGGUGACAGGUGCUCUCAUUGGCUCAGUUCAUUUUAAAAACGUGCAGGCACAGUGAGGCACGAGAGCAUCUGCGAUUAUCGUGUAUGUCGUGACCACGAGGGGGCCCGGCAGCUUCGGUCUGGGUGAGCCCGGAGUUACACACUGGUACAAGGGCAGGGCUGAUUCCUUGGAGCUUCAGUGGUUACAUCCCUUCUUGUUCAGCGCUUCUGAAUUACCUCUUCUGUUUAUUUUUUUUUUAAAUUACAGAAUUUUCCUAUGUAACUUUCAGAAAUGCAUCUCCUUACAAAAACUUGCCUCAGCACAAAAACUCAGCUUUAAUAAAUAGCACUGGCUAUUUGAUUUUCUCUGUGGCAGAAGACAGAUAGUACCAAGCAUAUCAUCACAUGUGAGUUUCAUCUGUGUCAGCUAUUUCCCCAAGUAAAAAUUCAAGAGUUUUGCACACAUUACUGUAUUUGUAAAGUAGAAGGAAUUGGUAUGAAGAAUCUUAAUGAUAAGGUUUUUUGUAUAUCUUAAAGAGUUUUUAAGCUUGGUACUAAAAUAUUUCAAUAAAGAUUUCUUUCUCUGCC
Molecule: long non-coding RNA, 3600 nt
Organism: Cinclus cinclus
Lineage: Eukaryota; Metazoa; Chordata; Aves; Passeriformes; Cinclidae
Exons: 2
Source: RefSeq, a predicted model, not a curated record